CUGAAGGUUUGGUCCUGGCCUCAGUAUUAAUUUUAACCAAAUUUACACAUGCAAGUUUCAGCAUUCCAGUGAGAACGCCCUAAUCAUGCCCUUAUUUGUUUAGGAGCUGGUAUCAGGCAUAUACAGUGUGUAUAACCCAUGACACCUCGCUUAACCACGCCCCCAAGGGAAUUCAGCAGUGAUAGACAUUGAACAAUAAGCGCAAGCUUGAAUCAGUUAAAGUUAAAAGAGUUGGUUAAUCUCGUGCCAGCCACCGCGGUUAUACGAGUAACUCACAUUAAUACUUCACGGCGUAAAGGGUGAUUAAAAGUUUCUAAAAAGUACUAAAGUUAUAACCUUAUAAAGCUGUCAUACGCACCUAUAAAAGGGAUAAUACACUAACGAAAGUGACUUUAACUAGAUAGAGCUUUUGACCUCACGACAGUUAAGACACAAACUAGGAUUAGAUACCCUACUAUGCCUAACCAUAAAUAGACCUUUACUACCACUUACUUUGUUUAAGUCCGCCUGAGUACUACAAGCGCUAGCUUAAAACCCAAAGGACUUGGCGGUGCCCCAGACCCCC
RNAcentral lists this ribosomal RNA (565 nucleotides) under Raja clavata (thornback ray). Its description in RNAcentral is "partial small subunit ribosomal RNA". It matches the Rfam family "Bacterial small subunit ribosomal RNA", at positions 6 to 930 of the family's 1533-position model. The record is from RNAcentral. Lineage: Eukaryota; Metazoa; Chordata; Chondrichthyes; Rajiformes; Rajidae.